Molecule: ribosomal RNA, 502 nt
Filed under: uncultured bacterium
Lineage: Bacteria
Description: bacterial SSU rRNA
Rfam family: Bacterial small subunit ribosomal RNA
Source: RNAcentral
AUUGAACGCUGGCGGCAUGCUUUACACAUGCAAGUCGAACGGUAACAGGCCUUCGGGUGCUGACGAGUGGCGAACGGGUGAGUAAUGCAUCGGAACGUGCCCAAUCGUGGGGGAUAACGUAGCGAAAGUUACGCUAAUACCGCAUAAGCCCUGAGGGGGAAAGUGGGGGACCGCAAGGCCUCACGCGAAUGGAGCGGCCGAUGUCAGAUUAGCUAGUUGGUGGGGUAAAGGCCCACCAAGGCGACGAUCUGUAGCGGGUCUGAGAGGAUGAUCCGCCACACUGGGACUGAGACACGGCCCAGACUUCUACGGGAGGCAGCAGUGGGGAAUUUUGGACAAUGGGCGCAAGCCUGAUCCAGCAAUGCCGCGUGUGUGAAGAAGGCCUGCGGGUUGUAAAGCACUUUCAGUGGGGAAGAACAGAUUCGGGUCAAUACCCCGGAGCCCUGACGUUACCCACAGAAGAAGCACCGGCUAACUCCGUGCCAGCAGCCGCGGUAAAGUG